RNAcentral lists this ribosomal RNA (269 nucleotides) under uncultured prokaryote. Its description in RNAcentral is "partial 16S ribosomal RNA". It matches the Rfam family "Bacterial small subunit ribosomal RNA", at positions 524 to 792 of the family's 1533-position model. The record is from RNAcentral.
UACGGAGGAUCCGAGCGUUAUCCGGAUUUAUUGGGUUUAAAGGGUGCGCAGGCGGGAUGUUAAGUCGGCGGUGAAAUUUUGCAGCUCAACUGUAAAAGUGCCUUCGAUACUGGCUUCCUUGAGUGUGGAUGAAGUAGGCGGAAUUUGUGGUGUAGCGGUGAAAUGCUUAGAUAUCACGAGGAACUCCGAUUGCGCAGGCAGCUUACUAAACUACUACUGACGCUCAGGCACGAAGGCGUGGGGAUCAAACAGGAUUAGAUACCCCUGUA